UUUGCGAACUCGCUCCGAAGCCCAGAUCUCAUGUUAUUUUCCACUGAAAGCGCUGUAGCGUUCAUUCCCUUGCCGAAAAAUGGCGGACAAUAUAAAAAGGAAAAAAUUACUGUGAGGAAAGGUACUUUAGUGUGUGCUAUUGCUAAUCACUUCACGGAGGAUGAGGUAUGAAGUGUGGAUUCUGCCAAGGAGCACAAUUACAACAGCCGCCCAGUCCCAGUGCUCUUGCUGAGGCAUGGGAAAAAUAAAGGAGCUGGAAAAAACACCUGCUAGUGACAUCAGCAUCAUCUACUGACUUGCUAGUGACAUCAGCAUAAUCUACACACCUGCUAGUGACAUCAUGCUCCACCUCACCUUCUAGUGGCAUCAGCAUCAUCUACACACAUGCUAGUGACAUCAGCAUCAUCUACUCACUUGCUAGUGACACCAUGCUUCUCUUCACCUGCUAGUAACUUGUCUGCUUUGUGAUAAGAAAAUUUUGCUAUCUUCCAAUUCUGAACACAUCAGAAAUCACCAACCCCUCCUGACAUAUCUUUCCAGUUUGGGUUUUGCAUGGUCCCCAAUAACUCAACGUGGGAUGCCUCUCCGAUUUCUUUCACAUCAGGGCACUUAACCUCUACCAGGCCACAGAGAGGUUCUUCAUUUGGGUCCACCACUUUGCCAUCUGCACCAAGGUGUGGAGCAUCAGGGUGGAUGAUGAGACCAGAUGGAAGAACUUUAACGUCAAAGGUCUCCUCAUAGCGGUGAAGAACCUCUGGCUCAAGUUUUAAUCCUCUACACAUCGCUCUCUAGAGACCCCGACAGAUGUUUACACACACUGUUUAAUGCAAGACAUAAAUGCAUUUAACCUGCAAUUACAAAUGCAUAAUGUUUUGAUGUUUUAAGCCCAGAAUGUUGAAUACUGAUAUUUGCAAAGAUAAAAGAAAGUGCUUUAAGAGGUGAAAUUAAAAACACCAAUAUCUAGACAAUCAUGAAUUGUAACCACUUCCUUUAAUGUUUUUACUAAACGGUUGAUAUGGAAUUUGUUUAAAUGUUACA
Molecule: long non-coding RNA, 1038 nt
Organism: Carassius gibelio (silver crucian carp)
Lineage: Eukaryota; Metazoa; Chordata; Actinopteri; Cypriniformes; Cyprinidae
Exons: 4
Source: RefSeq, a predicted model, not a curated record